GACGAACGCUGGCGGCGUGCUUAACACAUGCAAGUCGAGCGGUAAGGCCUCUUCGGGGGUACACGAGCGGCGAACGGGUGAGUAACACGUGGGUGACCUGCCCUCAGCUCUGGGAUAAGCCUGGGAAACUGGGUCUAAUACCGGAUAUGACCUUUCCUCGCAUGGGGUUUGGUGGAAAGUUUUUUCGGCUGGGGAUGGGCCCGCGGCCUAUCAGCUUGUUGGUGGGGUGAUGGCCUACCAAGGCGACGACGGGUAGCCGGCCUGAGAGGGCGACCGGCCACACUGGGACUGAGGCACGGCCCGGACACCUACGGGAAGCAGCAGUGGGGUAUAUUGCGCAAUGGGCGGGAGCCUGACGCAGCGACGCCGCGUGGGGGAUGACGGCCUUCGGGUUGUAAACCUCUUUCGACCCCGACGAAUUUGGACGGUAGGGGUAGAAGAAGCACCGGCCAACUACGUG
RNAcentral lists this ribosomal RNA (460 nucleotides) under uncultured bacterium. Its description in RNAcentral is "partial 16S ribosomal RNA". It matches the Rfam family "Bacterial small subunit ribosomal RNA", at positions 28 to 507 of the family's 1533-position model. The record is from RNAcentral.